GAUGAACGCUGGCGGCGUGCCUAAUACAUGCAAGUCGAGCGAACAGACGAGGAGCUUGCUCCUCUGACGUUAGCGGCGGACGGGUGAGUAACACGUGGAUAACCUACCUAUAAGACUGGGAUAACUUCGGGAAACCGGAGCUAAUACCGGAUAAUAUAUUGAACCGCAUGGUUCAAUAGUGAAAGACGGUUUUGCUGUCACUUAUAGAUGGAUCCGCGCCGCGUUAGCUAGUUGGUAAGGUAACGGCUUACCAAGGCAACGAUGCGUAGCCGACCUGAGAGGGUGAUCGGCCACACUGGAACCGAGACACGGUCCAGACUCCUACGGGAGGCAGCAGUAGGGAAUCUUCCGCAAUGGGCGAAAGCCUGACGGAGCAACGCCGCGUGAGUGAUGAAGGUCUUCGGAUCGUAAAACUCUGUUAUUAGGGAAGAACAAAUGUGUAAGUAACUAUGCACGUCUUGACGGUACCUAAUCAGAAAGCCACGGCUAACUACGUG
RNAcentral lists this ribosomal RNA (497 nucleotides) under uncultured bacterium. RNAcentral's name for it is "partial 16S ribosomal RNA". It matches the Rfam family "Bacterial small subunit ribosomal RNA", at positions 28 to 507 of the family's 1533-position model. The record is from RNAcentral.